This 26-nucleotide non-coding RNA is filed under the name Cricetulus griseus (Chinese hamster). Lineage: Eukaryota; Metazoa; Chordata; Mammalia; Rodentia; Cricetidae. The record is from RNAcentral.
UUGACUGUAAUCAUGUCAUGCAGAAG